UGGCCAGACUCCUACGGGAGGCAGCAGUGGGGGAUAUUGCACAAUGGGGGAAACCCUGAUGCAGCGACGCCGCGUGAGUGAAGAAGUAUUUCGGUAUGUAAAGCUCUAUCAGCAGGGAAGAAGAUGACAGUACCUGAGUAAGAAGCCCCGGCUAACUACGUGCCAGCAGCCGCGGUAAUACGUAGGGGGCAAGCGUUAUCCGGAUUUACUGGGUGUAAAGGGAGCGUAGACGGUUAUGUAAGUCUGGAGUGAAAGCCCGGGGCCCAACCCCGGGACUGCAUUGGAAACUGUCAGGCUAGAGUGUCGGAGAGGCAAGUGGAAUUCCUAGUGUAGCGGUGAAAUGCGUAGAUAUUAGGAGGAACACCAGUGGCGAAGGCGGCUUGCUGGACGAUGACUGACGUUGAGGCUCGAAAGCGUGGGGAGCAAACAGGAUUAGAUACCCGAGUA
This 447-nucleotide ribosomal RNA is filed under the name uncultured bacterium. Its description in RNAcentral is "bacterial SSU rRNA". It matches the Rfam family "Bacterial small subunit ribosomal RNA", at positions 328 to 792 of the family's 1533-position model. The record is from RNAcentral.